GGUUCUACCUCCCGUCAUUUCUGAUACAGAUCUGCUGGGCAGCACCAGAGCCCCCAGGUGAACACCUGGCCCACACCCAUCCCCCUUUAAGGAAAGCAGCAUCCUAGGUCUCCCCUCUCCACCCACAGAUCUCCCCAAGGGUCUGGGGGCACACGGCCCUCCCCCUACCUCCCCCUACCUGGCCCAGUCAGCCAAGAAGGUGAAGUGUGCAUCAUGGCAUUGUGCAAAUGGGCUGGACAGACCAAAUUUGGAGAAUAUGUCUGGGGGAAUUUGGCUUAAAGAGAGCAGAAGGGGACACUUCUGAUCGAUUUGGGGACCUGGGGGCACACCACGGGCAGGCUUCAGAGCAGCUAGCAGUGAAGAGUGCCAUGUGGAUGAAGAGGACAUGGACAGGAAAGCAAAGAGCAGCCCGCUGUUUCAAGCAUGAGUCCCGCCUGCUUCAGAAGGCAGUUUAUCUGUUUAAAAAAAGAAGAAUCCUCAACGAUGGAGGUGCCCUUCCCUCUCCUCUGUGAUCACCUGCAUCAGUCCAGCAGAUCCACCUCACCCCACACCAGCCCAAGGCCUCUGGUCACUGAGAACCUCCACUGGUACCUGCAGGGAAGACGGUCUUCCUCCACGACACGGGAUGAGGGCACAACAUGGAUCUUAUGGUUCUGAUCUCUAAGAACGAGACUGCUCCCCACCCACCCCAGUGAUCUCCAGAAAGUCCUGCAGUCUGGUUGCAUGGCCGGCUUGGGGCUGUCUUCCCACCCAGAAACAAAUCACGAUGGCCAGGGGAGAGCAUGUGCUAGUGGAACACGCUUAAGCUGGGUCACAUCUCCCCCAGGCUGAGGACAGGGUGGGCGCACCAGUCUCAUCAAAUCCACAAAUGACUUCCUAACAGAAUUGGGGAGACUAUGUAUGCUAAAACAAAAAAACAAAAAAAACAAAAAAAAAAA
Molecule: long non-coding RNA, 938 nt
Organism: Canis lupus familiaris (dog)
Lineage: Eukaryota; Metazoa; Chordata; Mammalia; Carnivora; Canidae
Exons: 3
Source: RefSeq, a predicted model, not a curated record